CUUUCGGGAAUGAGUAGAGUGGCGGACGGGUGAGUAACGCGUGGGAAUCUACCUGGUAGCGGGGGAUAACUCGGGGAAACUCGAGCUAAUACCGCAUACGCCCUACGGGGGAAAGGAGGGGAUCUUCGGACCUUUCACUAUCAGAUGAGCCCGCGUUAGAUUAGCUUGUUGGUGAGGUAAUGGCUCACCAAGGCGACGAUCUAUAGCUGGUCUGAGAGGAUGAUCAGCCACACUGGGACUGAGACACGGCCCAGACUCCUACGGGAGGCAGCAGUGGGGAAUAUUGCGCAAUGGGCGAAAGCCUGACGCAGCCAUGCCGCGUGUGUGAAGAAGGCCUUCGGGUUGUAAAGCACUUUCAAUAGGGAGGAAAACUUGUAGGUUAAUACCCUGCAAGCCUGACGUUACCUAUAGAAGAAGCACCGGCUAACUCCGUGCCAGCAGCCGCGGUAAUACGGAGGGUGCGAGCGUUAAUCGGAAUUACUGGGCGUAAAGCGCGCGUAGGCGGCUUCGUCAGUCAGAUGUGAAAGCCCCGGGCUCAACCUGGGAACUGCAUUUGAUACUGCGGAGCUAGAGCAUGGUAGAGGAUAGUGGAAUUCCAGGUGUAGCGGUGAAAUGCGUAGAUAUCUGGAGGAACAUCAGUGGCGAAGGCG
Molecule: ribosomal RNA, 650 nt
Filed under: uncultured marine bacterium
Lineage: Bacteria
Description: bacterial SSU rRNA
Rfam family: Bacterial small subunit ribosomal RNA
Source: RNAcentral